AGAACGAACGCUGGCGGCAUGCCUAACACAUGCAAGUCGAACGCUCUUGAGGCUUCGGUUUCAAGGGAGUGGCGCACGGGUGAGUAGCGCGUGGGAACCUGCCCUGUUGUGGGGGAUAACCGAGGGAAACUUCGGCUAAUACCGCAUGCGCCCGGGGAAACCCGGGGAAAGAUUUAUCGCAGCAGGAGGGGCCCGCGUCGGAUUAGGUAGUUGGUAGGGUAACGGCCUACCAAGCCUUUGAUCCGUAGCUGGUCUGAGAGGAUGAUCAGCCACACUGGGACUGAGACACGGCCCAGACUCCUACGGGAGGCAGCAGUGGGGAAUAUUGGACAAUGGGCGCAAGCCUGAUCCAGCAAUGCCGCGUGAGUGAUGAAGGCCUUCGGGUUGUAAAGCUCUUUCGCACGCGAGGAUGAUGACGCUAGCGUGAGAAGAAGCCCGGCUAACUUCGUGCCAGCAGCCGC
RNAcentral lists this ribosomal RNA (461 nucleotides) under uncultured bacterium. Its description in RNAcentral is "SSU rRNA". It matches the Rfam family "Bacterial small subunit ribosomal RNA", at positions 26 to 518 of the family's 1533-position model. The record is from RNAcentral.